Molecule: ribosomal RNA, 559 nt
Filed under: uncultured bacterium
Lineage: Bacteria
Description: bacterial SSU rRNA
Rfam family: Bacterial small subunit ribosomal RNA
Source: RNAcentral
CCUACGGGAGGCAGCAGUGGGGAAUCUUGCGCAAUGGGCGAAAGCCUGACGCAGCAACGCCGCGUGCGGGAAGAAGGCUUUCGGGCUGUAAACCGCUUUCAGCAGGAACGAAAAUGACGGUACCUGCAGAAGAAGGAGCGGCCAACUAUGUGCCAGCAGCCGCGGUGAUACAUAGGCUUCAAGCGUUGUCCGGAUUUAUUGGGCGUAAAGAGUUCGUAGGCGGUCGAGUAAGUCGGGUGUGAAAAUUCUGGGCUCAACCCAGAGACGCCACCCGAUACUGCUUGACUUGAGUUCGAUAGGGGAGUGGGGAAUUCCUAGUGUAGCGGUGAAAUGCGCAGAUAUUAGGAGGAACACCGGUGGCGAAGGCGCCACUCUGGAUCGAUACUGACGCUGAGGAACGAAAGCAUGGGUAGCAAACAGGAUUAGAUACCCUGGUAGUCCAUGCCGUAAACGGUGGGCACUAGGUGUGGGUUUCUAUUAACGAAAUCCGCGCCGUCGCUAACGCAUUAAGUGCCCCGCCUGGGGAGUACGGUCGCAAGCUAAAACUCAAAUGAAUUGA